RNAcentral lists this small RNA (872 nucleotides) under Histoplasma capsulatum var. duboisii H88. RNAcentral's name for it is "Histoplasma capsulatum H88 hypothetical RNA". The record is from RNAcentral. Lineage: Eukaryota; Fungi; Ascomycota; Eurotiomycetes; Onygenales; Ajellomycetaceae.
AGGCCCCUGAUCCACAAAUAGCAAUUCGCCGUAUGUUGUGUGUCUGUUUGGUCCAUAAGUGAUAUCGAAUAUCCAAACGGCACGCAUCAUCUUUUCUUGAAUGCUUUAUUUCAGACCCGUUUCGUUCGCCGCCCAUCCCCCGGAGAAGCGCUAAUUUUUUCUGCGGACCAUUUGGGAGAGAUUAUAAAUAUGGUGAUGUUUCCAGGUUAUCGAAGGGGGAGAUCUUAAACAACACGAAGCUUUACAUUCCUGCCCCCGGAUUUUCAACUUUAUUCUGUUACCAGAGAUUUUUCACCUUUCAGCCGCUUCAGACUGUGCGACAUCAAGUACAAUCAACUUGAGUGCUCAGAAUUCGCGCAUCAUCCUGGCCACACAACGCCAGUCGAUGAAAGCUCUCGCAGUAUUCGCUGUCAGAAAUGUGGUGACUGGGCCCUGGCCGGAUCUCGCUUUUGUGCAGCCCACCAGCAGUAAAUGCAGUAUAUUCUCUUUGUUUGUGCCACACUUCGGUCAUCUUCCACUCUUCGCUAAUCUGUGCUAGUUUCGACGUAUUUGAAUAGGCUGCGGGGAAGCAAGGAUUAUGGACUGAUCCUGGAGAAGAUUAUUGGCACUGGUGUCCUAGGAAAGUAGGGAUUGCCGUCAGAGGUCGAUAUGGAGCCUGCCCGAAUUCAGGGUAAUUGGGGGAAUCUUUUCGUACAGAAUUCAUGUACCUACGCUCUUUUCUACAGACAUGCUGUGGAAUAUCCAAGUUCAGUCAACUAAAAUCUGCACUGAAUCCACCACCAAAAUCAACACCUAUUUUGAUCAGUGAGGUUUCUCACUACAAAGGUUAUUAUUAUUACAUUAUAGUAUUUGAUAAUUAUUCCAUUUGGCCA